ACAUCUGGUUUUGAAGAAUGGUUUGUGGUAUCCUACCAGUACAUGGUUAGUUGUUUCAAAUAGGUCUUUAGGUGGACCCAUAUUGUCCCAUCUAUGAUGAUCCCGUUGAGCAUAUUGAUCACUUAUGGGAAAGUGUAUUUAUGCUGAAUAUGUAUGAAAAUGUAGUCCGCUUCGUCAUACUCCUAAUAACCAUAUGGAAUUCGGUGAGU
RNAcentral lists this long non-coding RNA (209 nucleotides) under Carica papaya (papaya). RNAcentral's name for it is "long non-coding RNA (CPAP_LNC001297)". Lineage: Eukaryota; Viridiplantae; Streptophyta; Magnoliopsida; Brassicales; Caricaceae. The record is from RNAcentral.